CCCAAGCCUUCUGGCGAUCUCUUAUAAAGAAAGCCCUCCAUAAUAAAUUGAAAAGGGUCCUUUGGGGAAAAGUUUUCCCUUUGCUAAGAUGAAGCCGGGGAAGGUUUUCCGGUUUAUCCCGGAGGGCUUGUAGCUCAGUUGGUUAGAGCGCGCGCUUGAUAAGCGUGAGGUCGGAGGUUCAAGUCCUCCCAGGCCCACCAAUCAUUCUAUCAAUCUAUAAGCGCUUGUGGAAAUUGCUCAUAGAAAACUUUCUUUAUUCAUUUAUGAAAAAUCUCCUUAUAGAGAGACGCUUUUCCCUUUGGGUUUGAAAAUUCAAAAUUAAAGGUGUUAAAGUGGCUUUAAAGGAAAAGUGACAAAGAAUAAGGAAUAACGAUUUAAGUUAUCCCUUUUUGGUGAUCUUGAUUUGGGUGUUUUGAAUGCGUUAUGUUUUUUAGGGGGGCCGUAGCUCAGCUGGGAGAGCACCUGCUUUGCAAGCAGG
Molecule: unclassified non-coding RNA, 478 nt
Filed under: uncultured Bartonella sp.
Lineage: Bacteria; Pseudomonadati; Pseudomonadota; Alphaproteobacteria; Hyphomicrobiales; Bartonellaceae
Description: partial 16S-23S ribosomal RNA intergenic spacer
Rfam family: tRNA (bases 124-197)
Source: RNAcentral